This 453-nucleotide ribosomal RNA is filed under the name Paenibacillus mobilis. Its description in RNAcentral is "bacterial SSU rRNA". The record is from RNAcentral. Lineage: Bacteria; Bacillati; Bacillota; Bacilli; Caryophanales; Paenibacillaceae.
GCAGUAGGGAAUCUUCCGCAAUGGGCGAAAGCCUGACGGAGCAAUGCCGCGUGAGUGAUGAAGGUUUUCGGAUCGUAAAGCUCUGUUGCCAGGGAAGAACGCUUGGGAGAGUAACUGCUCUCAAGGUGACGGUACCUGAGAAGAAAGCCCCGGCUAACUACGUGCCAGCAGCCGCGGUAAUACGUAGGGGGCAAGCGUUGUCCGGAAUUAUUGGGCGUAAAGCGCGCGCAGGCGGUCAUUUAAGUCUGGUGUUUAAUCCCGGGGCUCAACCCCGGAUCGCACUGGAAACUGGGUGACUUGAGUGCAGAAGAGGAGAGUGGAAUUCCACGUGUAGCGGUGAAAUGCGUAGAUAUGUGGAGGAACACCAGUGGCGAAGGCGACUCUCUGGGCUGUAACUGACGCUGAGGCGCGAAAGCGUGGGGAGCAAACAGGAUUAGAUACCCCKRGUAGUCA